UACGUAGGGGGCAAGCGUUAUCCGGAUUUACUGGGUGUAAAGGGAGCGUAGACGGCGAAGAAAGUCUGAAGUGAAAGCCCGCGGCUCAACCGCGGAACUGCUUUGGAAACUUUUUUGCUGGAGUACCGGAGAGGUAAGCGGAAUUCCUAGUGUAGCGGUGAAAUGCGUAGAUAUUAGGAGGAACACCAGUGGCGAAGGCGGCUUACUGGACGGUAACUGACGUUGAGGUUCGAAAGCGUGGGGAGCAAACAGG
This 253-nucleotide ribosomal RNA is filed under the name uncultured bacterium. RNAcentral's name for it is "partial 16S ribosomal RNA". It matches the Rfam family "Bacterial small subunit ribosomal RNA", at positions 524 to 776 of the family's 1533-position model. The record is from RNAcentral.